CCUACGGGAGGCAGCAGUAGGGAAUCUUCCACAAUGGGCGAAAGCCUGAUGGAGCAACGCCGCGUGGGUGAAGAAGGUCUUCGGAUCGUAAAACCCUGUUGUUAGAGAAGAAAGUGCGUGAGAGUAACUGUUCACGUUUCGACGGUAUCUAACCAGAAAGCCACGGCUAACUACGUGCCAGCAGCCGCGGUAAUACGUAGGUGGCAAGCGUUAUCCGGAUUUAUUGGGCGUAAAGGGAACGAAGGCGGUCUUUUAAGUCUGAUGUGAAAGCCUUCGGCUUAACCGGAGUAGUGCAUUGGAAACUGGGAGACUUGAGUGCAGAAGAGGAGAGUGGAACUCCAUGUGUAGCGGUGAAAUGCGUAGAUAUAUGGAAGAACACCAGUGGCGAAAGCGGCUCUCUGAUCUGUAACUGACGCUGAGGUUCGAAAGCGUGGGUAGCAAACAGGAUUAGAUACCCUAGUAGUC
RNAcentral lists this ribosomal RNA (465 nucleotides) under uncultured bacterium. Its description in RNAcentral is "partial 16S ribosomal RNA". It matches the Rfam family "Bacterial small subunit ribosomal RNA", at positions 338 to 795 of the family's 1533-position model. The record is from RNAcentral.